GCCCGGAUGGUGGAAUUGGUAUACACAGCAGACUUAAAAUCUGCCGCCGCAUGGCUUACGGGUUCAAAUCCCGUUCCGGGCACCA
This 85-nucleotide transfer RNA is filed under the name Azoarcus sp. Its description in RNAcentral is "tRNA-Leu". It matches the Rfam family "tRNA". From Rfam's summary of the family: Transfer RNA (tRNA) molecules are approximately 80 nucleotides in length. Their secondary structure includes four short double-helical elements and three loops (D, anti-codon, and T loops). Further hydrogen bonds mediate the characteristic L-shaped molecular structure. tRNAs have two regions of fundamental functional importance: the anti-codon, which is responsible for specific mRNA codon recognition, and the 3' end, to which the tRNAs corresponding amino acid is attached (by aminoacyl-tRNA synthetases). tRNAs cope with the degeneracy of the genetic code in two manners: having more than one tRNA (with a specific anti-codon) for a particular amino acid; and 'wobble' base-pairing, i.e. permitting non-standard base-pairing at the 3rd anti-codon position. Lineage: Bacteria; Pseudomonadati; Pseudomonadota; Betaproteobacteria; Rhodocyclales; Zoogloeaceae. The record is from RNAcentral.